AGCGAACGCUGGCGGCAGGCCUAACACAUGCAAGUCGAACGGUCCUUCGGGACAGUGGCGGACGGGUGAGUAACACGUGGGAACGUGCCCUUUGGUUCGGAACAACUCAGGGAAACUUGAGCUAAUACCGGAUGUGCCCUUCGGGGAAGGAUUUAUUGCCAUUGGAGCGGCCCGCGUCUGAUUAGCUAGUUGGUGAGGUAAAGG
RNAcentral lists this ribosomal RNA (204 nucleotides) under uncultured bacterium. Its description in RNAcentral is "partial 16S ribosomal RNA". It matches the Rfam family "Bacterial small subunit ribosomal RNA", at positions 29 to 263 of the family's 1533-position model. The record is from RNAcentral.